This 406-nucleotide ribosomal RNA is filed under the name uncultured bacterium. RNAcentral's name for it is "partial 16S ribosomal RNA". It matches the Rfam family "Bacterial small subunit ribosomal RNA", at positions 30 to 526 of the family's 1533-position model. The record is from RNAcentral.
AUUGAACGCUGGCGGCAGGCUUAACACAUGCAAGUCGAACGAGUGGCGGACGGGUGAGUAAUGCCUGGGAAUCUGGCCUAUGGAGGGGGAUAACUACGGGAAACUGUCGCUAAUACCGCGUACCAUCGGAUGUGCCCAGGUGGGAUUAGGUAGUUGGUGGGGUAAUGGCCUACCAAGCCGACGAUCCCUAGCUGGUCUGAGAGGAUGACCAGCCACACCGGAACUGAGACACGGCCCAGACUCCUACGGGAGGCAGCAGUGGGGAAUAUUGCACAAUGGGGGCAAGCCUGAUGCAGCCAUGCCGCGUGUAUGAAGAAGGCCUUCGGGUUGUAAAGUACUUUCAGUGAGGAGGCGUUAAUCGCAGAAGAAGCACCGGCUAACUCCGUGCCAGCAGCCGCGGUAAUAC